CACAGUCUCAGCCCACUGCCUAGAGCUCCAGCAGGAAGGUGGAGGUAGCCAAAGCCAUGAAAUCUGCCAACAUAGUGGUCCUGGAGAAGAAGAGGAGCUCUGAUGUGGAGACAGUCAGUAUCAGCUCCAUGGAAGUCAGUUUUAACUCUAGGACACAACCUAGAAUGAAGUGGAUCCAGCUGAGAACAGGAAACUGGGGCUACAAUUCACCAAAAUUGGACAAUAGAAGAUUGGAAAAAUGUCGCCUGGCCUGAUGAGUCUCUGUUUCAGCUGUGACAUUCAGAUGGUAGGGUCAGCAUGAAAGCAUGGAUCCAUCCUGCCUUGUAGCAACAGUUCGGGCUGGUGGUGGUGUAAUGGUGUGGGUGACAUUUUCUUGGCACACAUUGGGCCCCUUUGUACCAACUGAGCAUCGUUUAAACGCCACAGCCUACUUGAGAAUUGUUGCUGACCAUGUCCACCCCUUUAUGACCACAGUGUUCCCAUCUUCUCAUGGCUACUUCCAGCAGGAUAAUGCACCAUUCUUGAACAUGACAAUAAGUUCACUGUACUCCAACGGCCUCAAUCCAAAAGCGCACCUUUGGG
Molecule: long non-coding RNA, 582 nt
Organism: Cheilinus undulatus (humphead wrasse)
Lineage: Eukaryota; Metazoa; Chordata; Actinopteri; Labriformes; Labridae
Exons: 3
Source: RefSeq, a predicted model, not a curated record